GAACUGUUGAGAGCUUCUAUUAAACGAACGUGGCCAUUCGCUUCUUCGAAGUCGACCAAUACUACUCCAAUUAUGAAUUUUUCGUUCUUUCAGUCUAGAUAACAAUACUGAGUAGCACAUUUCAAAAUCAUGCCCAAAAUAAACAUCAGGAUCGUAUGUACGAACUUUAUUUAAGAAAUUAUUAAGCAACGAAACUUCAGACCUCUCACAAAAGAUGGAAGAUUUGUGCUGGCGAGCUAGCUUUUCAAAACCAUUUGGAAAGAUUUGCUUCAAAGGACGAAUCAACGAAAAG
Non-coding RNA from Schizosaccharomyces pombe (fission yeast), 292 nucleotides. Lineage: Eukaryota; Fungi; Ascomycota; Schizosaccharomycetes; Schizosaccharomycetales; Schizosaccharomycetaceae. The record is from the annotation of a GenBank genome assembly.